AGGAUUAACGCUGGCGGCGUGCCUAACACAUGCAAGUCGAACGAGGUAGCAAUACCUAGUGGCAGACGGGUGAGUAACGCGUGGUCAACCUACCGUUGAGUGGGGGAUAACUAGCCGAAAGGUUAGCUAAUACCGCAUACGAGUCUCGGGGGCAUCCCUGGGCCUUAAAAGGAGCAAUCCGCUCGAUGACGGGACCGCGUCCCAUUAGCUAGAUGGUGGGGUAAUGGCCUACCAUGGCUCCGAUGGGUAGCUGGUUUGAGAGAGCGACCAGCCACACUGGGACUGAGAAACGGCCCAGACUCCUACGGGAGGCAGCAGUGAGGAAUUUUCCGCAAUGGGCGAAAGCCUGACGGAGCGACGCCGCGUGUGGGAAGAAGGCCUUCGGGUCGUAAACCACUGUCGAAGGGGACGAUAAUGACGGUACCCUUGGAGGAAGCCCCGGCUAACUACGUGCCAGCAGCCGC
Molecule: ribosomal RNA, 464 nt
Filed under: uncultured bacterium
Lineage: Bacteria
Description: SSU rRNA
Rfam family: Bacterial small subunit ribosomal RNA
Source: RNAcentral